GUUCGGAAUUACUGGGCGUAAAGCGCGCGUAGGCGGCUUUGCAAGUCAGAGGUGAAAGCCUGGAGCUCAACUCCAGAACUGCCUUUGAAACUGCAUCGCUAGAAUCAUGGAGAGGUUAGUGGAAUUCCGAGUGUAGAGGUGAAAUUCGUAGAUAUUCGGAAGAACACCAGUGGCGAAGGCGACUAACUGGACAUGUAUUGACGCUGAGGUGCGAAAGCGUGGGGAGCAAACAGG
RNAcentral lists this ribosomal RNA (234 nucleotides) under uncultured bacterium. Its description in RNAcentral is "partial 16S ribosomal RNA". It matches the Rfam family "Bacterial small subunit ribosomal RNA", at positions 543 to 776 of the family's 1533-position model. The record is from RNAcentral.